UUUAAAGUCUAAUCUGCCCUAUGAGGAGUUAAAUGGCCGCGGUAUUUUGACCGUGCAAAGGUAGCAUAAUAAUUAGUUUUUUAAUUGAAAGCUGGAAUGAAUGAUUGGACGAGAAAAUGACUGUCUCAAUUUAAUUUUUUUAGAAUUUUAUUUUUAAGUAAGAAAGCUUAAAUUUUAUUAAAAGACGAGAAGACCCUAUAGAGUUUUAUAUUUAGUUAAUUUUUAGUUUUAUAGAAUUAUUUUAUUGAUAUUUAAUUAAAUAUUUUGUUGGGGUGAUAGAAAAAUUUUAUAAACUUUUUUUUAAUUUUAACAUUAAUUUAUGAUUUGAUGAUCCAUUAUUGUAUGAUUAUAAGAAUAAGUUACCUUAGGGAUAACAGCGUAAUUUUUUUUUAGAGUUCUUAUCGAAAAAAAAGAUUGCGACCUCGAUGUUGGAUUAAAAUUAAUAUUUGGUGUAGAAGCUAGAUAAUUGGGUCUGUUCGACCUUUAAAAUUUUACA
This 496-nucleotide ribosomal RNA is filed under the name Maladera sp. 836993. RNAcentral describes it as "partial 16S large subunit ribosomal RNA". It matches the Rfam family "Bacterial large subunit ribosomal RNA", at positions 1844 to 2600 of the family's 2925-position model. The record is from RNAcentral. Lineage: Eukaryota; Metazoa; Arthropoda; Insecta; Coleoptera; Scarabaeidae.